This 372-nucleotide ribosomal RNA is filed under the name uncultured bacterium. RNAcentral's name for it is "bacterial SSU rRNA". It matches the Rfam family "Bacterial small subunit ribosomal RNA", at positions 524 to 898 of the family's 1533-position model. The record is from RNAcentral.
UACGGAGGGUGCAAGCGUUAUCCGGAUUCACUGGGUUUAAAGGGUGCGUAGGUGGGUUGGUAAGUCAGUGGUGAAAUCCCCGAGCUUAACUUGGGAACUGCCAUUGAUACUAUUAAUCUUGAAUACCGUGGAGGUCAGCGGAAUAUGUCAUGUAGCGGUGAAAUGCUUAGAUAUGACAUAGAACACCAAUUGCGAAGGCAGCUGGCUACGCGAAUAUUGACACUGAUGCACGAAAGCGUGGGGAUCAAACAGGAUUAGAUACCCUGGUAGUCCACGCCCUAAACUAUGGAUACUCGACAUCAGCGAUACACUGUUGGUGUCUGAGCGAAAGCAUUAAGUAUCCCACCUGGGAAGUACGAUCGCAAGAUUGAA